This 454-nucleotide ribosomal RNA is filed under the name Atlantopandalus propinqvus. Its description in RNAcentral is "12S ribosomal RNA". Lineage: Eukaryota; Metazoa; Arthropoda; Malacostraca; Decapoda; Pandalidae. The record is from RNAcentral.
GGGUGAAAUUCAAUUACUUGUGAGUAAUUUAAUGUGAGAUGUAAUUAUUUUGAAGCUAUUAAGUCUCAGGCAUAAAAUAGGAUUAGAUACCCUUUUAUACUUAGAUGAAAAUUAAGGGCUUGAGUAGUAAACAGUUAUAUUCUUUAAACUUAAAGGAUUUGGCGGUAUUUUAGUCUUGUUAGAGGAACCUGUUCUAUAAACGAUAUUCCCCGAAGAAUCUUACUCUUUUUUGUGUUUCAGUUUGUAUACCGCCAUUAUUAGAUAGUUUCAUAAGAAUCUAUUUUAAUAGUCUUGAAUUAGUAUAUUAGGUCAAGGUGCAGCUAAUGAAAGAGAAAGUAAUGGGUUACAAUAGAAUGUGUUUACACGGAUGUGCUGAGUAUUUUUGGCUUUGAAGGUGGAUUUAAUAGUAAAGCUGUUUUAAUACGGCAGUUUGGUAUUGGCUCUAAGAUAUGUA